RNAcentral lists this ribosomal RNA (292 nucleotides) under uncultured bacterium. RNAcentral describes it as "partial 16S ribosomal RNA". It matches the Rfam family "Bacterial small subunit ribosomal RNA", at positions 505 to 796 of the family's 1533-position model. The record is from RNAcentral.
GUGUCAGCAGCCGCGGUAAAACGUAGGGGACAAGCGUUAUCCGGAUUUACUGGGCGUAAAGCGCAUGUAGGUGGCUUGCCAAGUUGGACGUGAAAGCUCCUGGCUUAACUGGGAGAGGUCGUUCAAAACUGGCAGGCUUGAGGUUGAAAUAGGAGAGUAGAAUUCCCGGUGUAGUGGUGGAAUGCGUAGAUAUCGGGAGGAAUACCAGUGGCGAAAGCGGCUCUCUGGUUCAAUACUGACACUGAGAUGCGAAAGCGUGGGGAGCGAACGGGAUUAGAUACCCGAGUAGUCC